Molecule: ribosomal RNA, 465 nt
Filed under: uncultured bacterium
Lineage: Bacteria
Description: partial 16S ribosomal RNA
Rfam family: Bacterial small subunit ribosomal RNA
Source: RNAcentral
CCUACGGGAGGCAGCAGUAGGGACUCUUCCACAAUGGGCGAAAGCCUGAUGGAGCAACGCCGCGUGGUUGAAGAAGGUCUUCGGAUCGUAAAACCCUGUUGUUAGAGAAGAAAGUGCGUGAGAGUAACUGUUCACGUUUCGACGGUAUCUAACCAGAAAGCCACGGCUAACUACGUGCCAGCAUCCGCGGUAAUACGUAGGUGGCAAGCGUUAUCCGGAUUUAUUGGUCGUAAAGGGAACGCAGGCGGUCUUUUAAGUCUGAUGUGAAAGCCUUCGGCUUAACCGGAGUAGUGCAUUGGAAACUGGGAGACUUGAGUGCAGAAGAGGAGAGUGGAACUCCAGGUGUAGCGGGGAAAUGCGUAGAUAUAUGGAAGAACACCAGUGGCGAAAGCGGCUCCCUGGUCUGUAACUGACGCUGAGGUUCGAAAGCGUGGGUAGCAAACAGGAUUAGAUACCCCGGUAGUC